AUACAUCCAUAGGUAAUGGCUGCAAGUGAGAAUCUACUUUUUGAAACAAGUUGAAAAAAAGCAUUUGUCUACAAAAGAACAUCAGAUACUGCACUUUUUACAAAUUGAAUGUUUGUGGCAAGCCUGCAUCGAGAAAGUCCAUUGAUGCCAUUUUUUUCAAACAAGGGAAGAUAUCAGGAGACAAGGCUGAUGUGUAGCUUCCACUUGGACAGAAAGAACAGCGUGUGGAGACUCACACCAUGGACUUUUACUCCAGAAACAGCAGCAGGAGCAUACCAGGAAGACUGAAAGAAAUAACAGAUCCUUUGAAAGAAGCAGCAGGCCACUGCAAAUGCUGCAAGAUAGGCAAAAAACGGAGUUCACAAAGUGUGAAAGGGGAAUACCUGCCUCUAAACACAUCCCCACUGGGGAACCUGAAAAUCCAGAUUACGGGAGAAGGAUUUAACCUUACCUGGAGCUGCAAUGGAUUUAGUGUGAAAUACAAAAGUAGAAGCAGCAGUGGAAA
This 505-nucleotide long non-coding RNA is filed under the name Homo sapiens (human). Its description in RNAcentral is "novel transcript, antisense to FSCB". The record is from RNAcentral. Lineage: Eukaryota; Metazoa; Chordata; Mammalia; Primates; Hominidae.